This 2713-nucleotide ribosomal RNA is filed under the name Salmonella enterica subsp. enterica serovar Enteritidis. RNAcentral describes it as "partial 23S ribosomal RNA". It matches the Rfam family "Bacterial large subunit ribosomal RNA". Lineage: Bacteria; Pseudomonadati; Pseudomonadota; Gammaproteobacteria; Enterobacterales; Enterobacteriaceae. The record is from RNAcentral.
AUCUGCGAUAAGCGCCGGUAAGGUGAUAUGAACCGUUAUAACCGGCGAUACCCGAAUGGGGAAACCCAGUGUGAUUCGUCACACUAUCAUUAACUGAAUCCAUAGGUUAAUGAGGCGAACCGGGGGAACUGAAACAUCUAAGUACCCCGAGGAAAAGAAAUCAACCGAGAUUCCCCCAGUAGCGGCGAGCGAACGGGGAGGAGCCCAGAGCCUGAAUCAGCAUGUGUGUUAGUGGAAGCGUCUGGAAAGGCGCGCGAUACAGGGUGACAGCCCCGUACACAAAAGCGCAUGUGCUGUGAGCUCGAUGAGUAGGGCGGGACACGUGGUAUCCUGUCUGAAUAUGGGGGGACCAUCCUCCAAGGCUAAAUACUCCUGACUGACCGAUAGUGAACCAGUACCGUGAGGGAAAGGCGAAAAGAACCCCGGCGAGGGGAGUGAAAAAGAACCUGAAACCGUGUACGUACAAGCAGUGGGAGCACCCUUUGGGUGUGACUGCGUACCUUUUGUAUAAUGGGUCAGCGACUUAUAUUCUGUAGCAAGGUUAACCGAAUAGGGGAGCCGGAGGGAAACCGAGUCUUAAUUGGGCGUUAAGUUGCAGGGUAUAGACCCGAAACCCGGUGAUCUAGCCAUGGGCAGGUUGAAGGUUGGGUAACACUAACUGGAGGACCGAACCGACUAAUGUUGAAAAAUUAGCGGAUGACCUGUGGCUGGGGGUGAAAGGCCAAUCAAACCGGGAGAUAGCUGGUUCUCCCCGAAAGCUAUUUAGGUAGCGCCUCGUGAAUUCAUCUCCGGGGGUAGAGCACUGUUUCGGCUAGGGGGCCAUCCCGGCUUACCAACCCGAUGCAAACUGCGAAUACCGGAGAAUGUUAUCACGGGAGACACACGGCGGGUGCUAACGUCCGUCGUGAAGAGGGAAACAACCCAGACCGCCAGCUAAGGUCCCAAAGUCAUGGUUAAGUGGGAAACGAUGUGGGAAGGCCCAGACAGCCAGGAUGUUGGCUUAGAAGCAGCCAUCAUUUAAAGAAAGCGUAAUAGCUCACUGGUCGAGUCGGCCUGCGCGGAAGAUGUAACGGGGCUAAACCAUGCACCGAAGCUGCGGCAGCGACACUGUGUGUUGUUGGGUAGGGGAGCGUUCUGUAAGCCUGUGAAGGUGUGUCGUGAGGCAUGCUGGAGGUAUCAGAAGUGCGAAUGCUGACAUAAGUAACGAUAAAGCGGGUGAAAAGCCCGCUCGCCGGAAGACCAAGGGUUCCUGUCCAACGUUAAUCGGGGCAGGGUGAGUCGACCCCUAAGGCGAGGCCGAAAGGCGUAGUCGAUGGGAAACGGGUUAAUAUUCCCGUACUUGGUGUUACUGCGAAGGGGGGACGGAGAAGGCUAUGUUGGCCGGGCGACGGUUGUCCCGGUUUAAGCGUGUAGGUGUGUGUUCCAGGUAAAUCCGGUUCACUUUAACACUGAGGCGUGACGACGAGGCACUACGGUGCUGAAGCAACAAAUGCCCUGCUUCCAGGAAAAGCCUCUAAGCAUCAGGUAACAUCAAAUCGUACCCCAAACCGACACAGGUGGUCAGGUAGAGAAUACCAAGGCGCUUGAGAGAACUCGGGUGAAGGAACUAGGCAAAAUGGUGCCGUAACUUCGGGAGAAGGCACGCUGACACGUAGGUGAAGUGAUUUACUCAUGGAGCUGAAGUCAGUCGAAGAUACCAGCUGGCUGCAACUGUUUAUUAAAAACACAGCACUGUGCAAACACGAAAGUGGACGUAUACGGUGUGACGCCUGCCCGGUGCCGGAAGGUUAAUUGAUGGGGUCAGCGCAAGCGAAGCUCCUGAUCGAAGCCCCGGUAAACGGCGGCCGUAACUAUAACGGUCCUAAGGUAGCGAAAUUCCUUGUCGGGUAAGUUCCGACCUGCACGAAUGGCGUAAUGAUGGCCAGGCUGUCUCCACCCGAGACUCAGUGAAAUUGAACUCGCUGUGAAGAUGCAGUGUACCCGCGGCAAGACGGAAAGACCCCGUGAACCUUUACUAUAGCUUGACACUGAACAUUGAGCCUUGAUGUGUAGGAUAGGUGGGAGGCUUUGAAGUGUGGACGCCAGUCUGCAUGGAGCCGACCUUGAAAUACCACCCUUUAAUGUUUGAUGUUCUAACGUGGACCCGUUACCCGGGUUGCGGACAGUGUCUGGUGGGUAGUUUGACUGGGGCGGUCUCCUCCUAAAGAGUAACGGAGGAGCACGAAGGUUGGCUAAUCCUGGUCGGACAUCAGGAGGUUAGUGCAAUGGCAUAAGCCAGCUUGACUGCGAGCGUGACGGCGCGAGCAGGUGCGAAAGCAGGUCAUAGUGAUCCGGUGGUUCUGAAUGGAAGGGCCAUCGCUCAACGGAUAAAAGGUACUCCGGGGAUAACAGGCUGAUACCGCCCAAGAGUUCAUAUCGACGGCGGUGUUUGGCACCUCGAUGUCGGCUCAUCACAUCCUGGGGCUGAAGUAGGUCCCAAGGGUAUGGCUGUUCGCCAUUUAAAGUGGUACGCGAGCUGGGUUUAGAACGUCGUGAGACAGUUCGGUCCCUAUCUGCCGUGGGCGCUGGAGAACUGAGGGGGGCUGCUCCUAGUACGAGAGGACCGGAGUGGACGCAUCACUGGUGUUCGGGUUGUCAUGCCAAUGGCACUGCCCGGUAGCUAAAUGCGGAAGAGAUAAGUGCUGAAAGCAUCUAAGCACGAAACUUGCCCCGA